Long non-coding RNA from Leopardus geoffroyi (Geoffroy's cat), 1271 nucleotides. RefSeq lists it as uncharacterized. The transcript is spliced from 2 exons. NCBI's taxonomy places the organism in Eukaryota, Metazoa, Chordata, Mammalia, Carnivora, Felidae. The record is from RefSeq and is a predicted model, not a curated record.
UAAUGACAGCCAGGUUUCUCACCAUUGGGGAAGGUAGUUACAAAUAUAGGAAGGGGAAAAUUAGCAUCACCAAAGGAGAUAAAAUACAUUAUGUGCCUCCUGACACAAAGAUAUAUCAUCACAUCUUUGGUACCUCUACCAAAAAUUCAUAACCUGACUCUAAUCAUAGGGAAACAUUAGACAAACCCAAAAUGAGAGAAAUGCUACAAAAUAACUGGCAAAAAUAUCAAAAUAUUGAGGUUGAGAAAAACAAAGAAAGGCUAAGGAACUUUUCCAGAUUGAUAUGAUAACUAAAUUCAUGCUCGAUCCUGAAUUAGAUCCUGAAUUGGACUGGGAGAAAAAAACAAUAAAGAACAUUUCUGGUACAAAUAACAACAUUUGAAAUACAGACUGGAUUAGAUUAGUAUUGUGGAAACAUUAAACUGCCUGAAACUCCUUUUUCCUAGGAAAAUUCACACUGAAGUACAGUGUUUAGUUGGAAAGAACCACAAGGUCUCCAACUUACUCUCAAAUUUUCAAGAAAAAGAGAAAGGUGGGGAGGAAGAAGAGAGGAGGGAGGGAGGGUAGUGGGCACAUACACGAAUGGGGCAAAAUAGAAACAAUUGGUCAAUCUGGGUAUAAUAUAAGGAGGUUCCCUGCACUAUUCUUCCACCUUUUCUGUAAGUGUAAAAUUAUAUCAAAAUAGAAAGUUACCCCCCCACAAAGACCCUAAGCUUCCCCCCAAAAUAUUUAGGUGAAAGUUCAUAAUAACUAAUUCAAUGUAUUAUGAGAAAUUCUUUUAAGAACAUUGGUUUUAAAAUUCUAUUUUUCCCUCUGGUAGCAAUCUACAAAACUUGACUCGGUUCUAAAUUCCUUUUUAGAACUAAAAACAACUUGUAUAGCUUCAAAUACGAUUUUUUGAAAUUCCAGUGGCAGACAUCGUCCUUUUAGAAAGUCUUAUGAUAUAAGGAAAUUGGAACGAAAGCGCCUUUUCACUACCCUCUCCCUCCAGAUUCUUCAGUAAUUUUUCUAUCUCCAAAAGACACACCACCAGGACUGCCUAGUAUCCCCCCCUCAUCUGAGUAACACUUAAAAAUUGCUCUAUGAUGGUCCAUGCAAAGGAGGAACCUCAGGGGAAGAACAAAACCUACUGAAGUUCAUAUUCAAGCCGAAAAUUAACAUGAUGCAAGUAUCGAUACAGAACUGUAUUAUCUAAUUCAGUCUCUCUUUGUACACUAUAAAUCAAACUCUCAGGCUGGUUUCUCUGUGAGAAUGAAUACAGAUAAGCAACA